AAAUAAAAUGAAUUGAAUUGAAUUGAAUUCGACCACGGAGACAUGAGAUGUGCGUGUUGAUUUCCCAUGUGUCAGAUGGCCGCUCAGCCCUCAGCAGAUGUUCAAGAAGCCCGUGGCGUUCUGCGUGGAGGUCCGGUAUUUUGUCACAUUCUGCUCUCUGCAGUCCCCAUUUCCAUACCAAAGGCCUUAUGUCUGCCACGGGGCAUCUGCUCACACCACCGCUAGCCAGCUCUCUCCACGGGUCGGCUCGCUAUCAGCCCCGGGUUCUCCUGGUUUAACAUGUAAAUCAGUGGGAACACGCAUCAUCCAGGUGUCUGUUGAAAGGGACUUUUUGUACGCUGUGUGUUGAUUCCACAGCAGUUUAAAAUGGAGAACAUUUGCUGUCAGGUUAAUCUCACUCCUAAUUAUGUUUCAUAACGUGCUCCGGCUGGAGGAUCAAAUUGUGUCUUAAAACGAGGAGAACCGUCGCAGCAUCAUUUAUGGAACAUGUAAAUGACAUAUUGAUGCCAAGAGAUAUGCUGUGCAGGAACAACCAAGAUUCCAUCAACAAUGAAACAAGAUCCUACAGAUUAUUAAGGCAGCACUAACUAUUCCAUGUUUGCUCAUGAUAACAACAGCAUCCCCAAAUCCUUGCGUGAUGUGAAAGGCGUCGCUCCUUCUUCACACACAAAAAGCACCAACUCAGCACCCUCCUGUUUUAGUUCUUUCUGCCGCAACGGGAAAUGUAAGACAGGAAGAAGGCUCUGAUAAACUCACGGUAUUGUACAUCAGACAGGCACAGUUAGAGCUGGUGAACACAGCUACAGAUAUUUACAAAUAUUUCACUGGUAGAGACCCAAAACAGAGCUGGACGGGAGACACCAGUGGACAUGGUGCAGAUAGAUGACAAUUACAAUGCUGCUCCAAUGUUGCUUUGCCAUAUCUGAAAAUAUGUCAAUUAUUCUGUUGCCUUUAGGAGCCAAAAAGUCAGACCGAGGCUCCGUACCUAAAUGUAUAAGAUGAACCCAGCGUGUGCUGGACGCAUCACCAUGGAUCACUGCACUGCAGGAACAUGUCGGCCACAGCUGCUCCCCACCAACUGACCCCAGGGCAUGAUGGGAAACGCCCAGCUGUCACUUGAAGAUAUUUCACUUAAGACUAAAGGCAUCAGCAACUUCUCCUUUUACCCCUCGGACACUGUGGGAAUGUCCAACGGAACGAGCAGGUUAUGGCUCAAAAGGUGCAGUGCACAGGCUCUGGAGAACAUCUAGAGAACAUCUAGUGGUGUUCCCGAUCUAGAACCAAUGGUUUUAUUUGCCUGUUCUGGGAUACUGUAGAAAAAACUAUGAGGUCUAUAUGGCUUAUUCUAAGCUGACCAA
Molecule: long non-coding RNA, 1358 nt
Organism: Gasterosteus aculeatus aculeatus (three-spined stickleback)
Lineage: Eukaryota; Metazoa; Chordata; Actinopteri; Perciformes; Gasterosteidae
Source: Ensembl